GACGAACGCUGGCGGCGUGCUUAACACAUGCAAGUCGAACGGUAAGGCCCUUCUUUUUUGGGGUGCUCUAGUGGCGAACGGGUGAGUAACACGUGAGUAACCUGCCCUUGACUUUGGGAUAACUUCAGGAAACUGGGGCUAAUACCGGAUAGGAUCUCCUGCUUCAUGGUGGGGGUUGGAAAGUUUCGGCGGUUGGGGAUGGACUCGCGGCUUAUCAGCUUGUUGGUGGGGUAGUGGCUUACCAAGGCUUUGACGGGUGGCCGGCCUGAGAGGGUGACCGGCCACAUUGGGACUGAGAUACGGGCCAGAAUCCUACGGGAGGCAGCAGUGGGGAAUAUUGCAAAAUGGGCGGAAGCCUGAUGCAGCAACGCCGUGUGCGGGAUGACGGCCUUCGGGUUGUAAACCGCUUUCGCCUGUGACGAAGCGUGAGUGACGGUAAUGGGUAAAGAAGCACCGGCUAACUACGUG
This 468-nucleotide ribosomal RNA is filed under the name uncultured bacterium. RNAcentral describes it as "partial 16S ribosomal RNA". It matches the Rfam family "Bacterial small subunit ribosomal RNA", at positions 28 to 507 of the family's 1533-position model. The record is from RNAcentral.